CCUACGGGAGGCAGCAGUAGGGAAUCUUCCACAAUGGGCGAAAGCCUGAUGGAGCAACGCCGCGUGAGUGAUGAAGGCCUUCGGGUUGUAAAACUCUGUCAUUCGGGACGAACCGGAGUCUGAGGAAAUGCAGACUCUCUGACGGUACCGGAGGAGGAAGCCCCGGCUAACUACGUGCCAGCAGCCGCGGUAAUACGUAGGGGGCAAGCGUUGUCCGGAUUCACUGGGCGUAAAGCGCGCGCAGGCGGUGAUGUAAGUCUGAGGUGAAAACCCGAAGCUCAACUUCGGGACUGCCUUGGAUACUGCGUCACUUGAGGAUAGGAGAGGCAAGGGGAAUUCCACGUGUAGCGGUGAAAUGCGUAGAGAUGUGGAGGAACACCUGUGGCGAAGGCGCCUUGCUGGCCUAUUUCUGACGCUGAGGCGCGAAAGCGUGGGGAGCAAACAGGAUUAGAUACCCUGGUAGUCCACGCUGUAAACGAUGAGUGCUAGGUGUAGGUGGGCUCAUACCCAUCUGUGCCGAAGCUAACGCAUUAAGCACUCCGCCUGGGGAGUACGGUCGCAGACUGAAACUCAAAGGAUUAGACGG
This 586-nucleotide ribosomal RNA is filed under the name uncultured bacterium. Its description in RNAcentral is "bacterial SSU rRNA". It matches the Rfam family "Bacterial small subunit ribosomal RNA", at positions 338 to 916 of the family's 1533-position model. The record is from RNAcentral.